AAUUUUUUCUAUGACUAUAGAUUUUUUUCGUUUCUGGUUCAGAAAGCUUUUGAUUAAUUUGGGCUUUAAUGUAUUUCAAAGUAAAAUUACAUGUUAAUACGUAGUAUUAAUGGCGAGACUCCUGAGGGAGCAGUGCCAGUCGAAGACAGGGGCCCCAACACAGAAGCUGACAUAUAGUCAGCUUACAACAAUGUGCCGGUUGGGGUGGCUGAGACGGCACCCUAGGAAGGGACCCGUCAUCAAAAAUUCUAUUUAUAGAAUUUUACAGUAAUGUGACAGACGGGCAAAGCGAAGCCAUUCAAUACGAAGUAUUGUAUAAAUAGAGAACAGCAG
This 333-nucleotide non-coding RNA is filed under the name Staphylococcus aureus. It matches the Rfam family "S. aureus tsr24 small RNA". Lineage: Bacteria; Bacillati; Bacillota; Bacilli; Caryophanales; Staphylococcaceae. The record is from RNAcentral.